AGGGCGCGCAGAGCCGUGCAUGUGAUGAUAGGCGUGCGAGGCGGGGGAUCUGUGCGCCCUCUGUGAGCCACCGGAGCACGUCUCCUCCUCCCCGUCCGCUCCGAACCCCAUGUCUCCCUGUCCGAGUCUCCCACCUGCGCCCGGAGGAGAGCGCAUGCACGCGGCGGACGGAGGUGCGCGCGCUCCCGGUCCGGAGGAGAGGAGAGGAGAGCAGAGGGUGGUCAGCCAGGCCAGGGAGCGAAACAGGUCGGCUUUGCCUCAGCAGACUGAACCUGCAGCGGAGGAAGCGACCCUCUCCACACUGAGAUCUUUCCAAAUGAGCAGCGUGUCGGAGGGAGAAGUUUUCAUCUCUUCAAGGAUCACAGUGAGCGCCUGUGUGAUCGUCUGCAGCGCCCUGGGCUAAAGUCUUGGAGGUGCCAGAAAGAUUCCAGCUGCCAUGGCAGAAGCCGCCGCCUGAGCUUCCUAGUGACGCCCUACGACGGGGGAGGAUGGGUGAUGGGCCCGUGAAGCUCAGCGGCCUCUCU
RNAcentral lists this long non-coding RNA (524 nucleotides) under Salarias fasciatus (jewelled blenny). Its description in RNAcentral is "lncRNA (ENSSFAG00005025043.1)". The record is from RNAcentral. Lineage: Eukaryota; Metazoa; Chordata; Actinopteri; Blenniiformes; Blenniidae.